AUCGCUUCUCAGCCUUUUGGCUAAGAUCAAGUGUAAGUUUCAUGAAUGUUGAAAUUUCUGAUUUUGAUCAUUAUAUUGUGUUUUUUGAAAGAACUGGUUCCUUGGCAAACACAUUCUGAAAUAUUUAGUGGUAAAUGGGGCAUGAUAUCAGAAGCAUUU
Molecule: small nuclear RNA, 159 nt
Organism: Heterocephalus glaber (naked mole-rat)
Lineage: Eukaryota; Metazoa; Chordata; Mammalia; Rodentia; Bathyergidae
Gene: U2
Rfam family: U2 spliceosomal RNA
About the family: U2 is a small nuclear RNA (snRNA) component of the spliceosome (involved in pre-mRNA splicing). Complementary binding between U2 snRNA (in an area lying towards the 5' end but 3' to hairpin I) and the branchpoint sequence (BPS) of the intron results the bulging out of an unpaired adenosine, on the BPS, which initiates a nucleophilic attack at the intronic 5' splice site, thus starting the first of two transesterification reactions that mediate splicing.
Source: Ensembl